This 676-nucleotide ribosomal RNA is filed under the name uncultured bacterium. RNAcentral describes it as "bacterial SSU rRNA". It matches the Rfam family "Bacterial small subunit ribosomal RNA", at positions 8 to 694 of the family's 1533-position model. The record is from RNAcentral.
AGAGUUUGAUCCUGGCUCAGGACGAACGCUGGAGGUGUGCUUCACACAUGCAAGUCGAGCGAAUGAAGUAGGUAGCUUGCUACUUAUGGAUUUAGCGGCGGACGGGUGAGUAAUAUAUAGGAAUCUGCCUUAGAGCGGGGAACAACAGACCGAAAGGUUUGCUAAUGCCCCAUAGGUAUGCAGUCUUCGGAUUGUAUAUUAAAGGAGUAAUCCACUCUAAGAUGAGCCUGUAUCCGAUUAGCUAGUUGGCGGGGUAAAGGCCCACCAAGGCUACGAUCGGUAGUUGGUCUGAGAGGAUGAUCAGCCACAAUGGGACUGAGACACGGCCCAUACUCCUACGGGAGGCAGCAGUGGGGAAUUUUACACAAUGGGGGAAACCCUGAUGUAGCGACACCGCGUGAACGAAGAAGCCUUUUGGGGUGUAAAGUUCUGUCGGCUGGAACGAAAAAAAUGACGGUACCAGCAAAGGAAGCAUCGGCUAACUACGUGCCAGCAGCCGCGGUAAGACGUAGGAUGCGAGCGUUGUCCGGAUUUAUUGGGCGUAAAGAGUUCGUAGGCGGUUAUUUAAGUCUGAUGUUAAAUACUGUGGCCUAACCACAGAACUGCAUUGGAUACUGGAUGACUUGAGUGCGGUAGAGGCAAGUGGAAUUCCCAGUGUAGCGGUGAAAUGCGUAGA